UAAUCCGACCUAGGCUCAUCCAUUAGCGCAAGGUCUUACGAUCCCCUGCUUUCCUCCGUAGAGCGUAUGCGGUAUUAGCCCGGCUUUCGCCGGGUUAUCCCCCACAAAUGGGCAGAUUCCUACGUAUUACUCACCCGUCCGCCACUCGUCGCCAGGGUUGCCCCCGCGUUACCGUUCGACUUGCAUGUGUUAGGCCUGCCGCCAGCGUUCAAUCUGAGCCAGGAUCAAACUCU
RNAcentral lists this ribosomal RNA (233 nucleotides) under uncultured bacterium. RNAcentral describes it as "partial 16S ribosomal RNA". The record is from RNAcentral.